CCCUUAGAUGUCCUGGGCCGCACGCGCGCUACACUGAUGCAUUCAACGAGUUUUACCUUGGCCGAGAGGCCUGGGCAAUCUUUUGAACCUGCAUCGUGAUAGGGAUAGAUUAUUGCAAUUAUUAAUCUUGAACGAGGAAUUCCUAGUAAACGCAGAUCAUCAAUCUGCAUUGAUUACGUCCCUGCCCUUUGUACACACCGCCCGUCGCACCUACCGAUUGAAUGGUCCGGUGAGGCCUCGGGAUUGUGGCGAGUUUCCUUUAUUGGAAGUUUGCCGCGAGAACUUGUCUAAACCUUAUCAUUUAGAGGAAGGUGAAGUCGUAACA
RNAcentral lists this ribosomal RNA (325 nucleotides) under uncultured eukaryote. RNAcentral's name for it is "partial 18S ribosomal RNA". It matches the Rfam family "Eukaryotic small subunit ribosomal RNA", at positions 1470 to 1796 of the family's 1831-position model. The record is from RNAcentral.